Zea mays is the source of this 4500-nucleotide RNA transcript. RefSeq lists it as uncharacterized. NCBI's taxonomy places the organism in Eukaryota, Viridiplantae, Streptophyta, Magnoliopsida, Poales, Poaceae. The record is from RefSeq and is a predicted model, not a curated record. The transcript is spliced from 7 exons.
ACGUCCACACACGCUCUGUUCUGCCUGCCGCGUGCAAUCCGCCGCCCGCGCAAUCCGCCAGCGCGCAGACCUUUCCAUCCGCGCCCGCGCCAAAACCGCCGCCCCUGCGCCAAAUCCACCGCCACGCCCUGCUCGCCGAUGGAAGGUCCGCCGCCUGCCGCUCUAUUCUCCACGCGCAAUCCGCCAGCGCGCAGACCUUUCCAUCCGCGCCCGCGCCAAAUCCGCCGCCCUUGCGCCAAAUCUGCCGCCACGCCACUACUCGCCGAUGGAAGGUCUCCACGCGCAAUCCGCCGCCUGCCAUCGCCAGCGCGCAAUCCUUUCCAUCCGCGCCCGCAACGCCCGCCCCUGCGCCAAAUCCUCCUUGGACGCGCCCCGACGGCUGGCGCAACCCGUCGAGCAAAUCCGCGUAGAUCCCGUCUCCAUCUCCCGUCAACCAGGCGAGUCCCGCCGUGAAUGUCGCCCACCUCCCUUCGACUCCGACGCUCCCAGGACCACACCGCCCAAGCCGUCGAGCAAAUCCGCGUUGUGCAAGUGGUGGCGCAGCCUCGCGCCCGCCCUGCUCGCCGCCGCACUGGCGAUCACGGUGGCCGCGCUGCGGCCGGCGACGGAGCACGCGGACGCCAAGGGGCGGCCGCCGCUGUGGUUCUGGCCAGGAGGAGUGUUCAAAGUGGCCCUGUUCGCGGACCUGCAUUAUGGCGAGGACGCGUGGACGGACUGGGGCCCCGCGCAGGACGCCGCGUCCGACCGCGUCAUGGCCGCCGUCCUCGACGCCGAGAACCCAGACUUGGUGGUGUACGAGCAGCCAUAGAUGUGCAGACAUCCCUAUUGGAAGAAGAUCCGAACAAGAAUUAUCAAGAAGACAAAAGGUAAAUAAUACAACACCCAUACUUAUUCUUCUUCUGAUUUUUGAUAGUUUAUGAAGAACAAUAAUAUUGUGCAAACUGCUAAGCUGCUAGCUUGUUAUCUAUUUUUAGACAAUAUACACCUCUUGUUAAGAAUGGAGAGGUAGGAGAUGAUCCUGGAGGCAGCAUGUCAAAGAUAGAACUCACAUGUUUGUUGUUCUUCUAUUUUUUUAUCGCUCAUAAGGAAAAUUGAGACCCUGCUCUUGAUGUUUUAGACAUGGCGUACUUCCUGUUAUGGUGCCUGAAAUUGGCAUGAAGUUUCAGGAUGAGGUAGAGGCUUGGAAGUUUUGGAAUACAUAUGGUAACACGGUUUUGAGGUUAGAAUGAGAGAUGCAAACAAAAGAAAAUCUAUUGGAAUACUGAGAUCAUUUAGAUUUAUUUGUGCAAAAGAGGGUCAGUGGAAAUAAGGUAAAAUAAGUCAUCUUGUAAACGGCCACGAGCUAAAACUAGAACUAAAUGUCUUGCUGUAUUUUGAACUAAAUGUAUUAUUAUUGUUCUAUCUUUUGGAGAUAGAAAUACGAGCAUGCAGUCAAUCUCAGCAUGCAUUUAGUUUCAAUUAAAUCUUGGUAAACAACUUGGUCUCUCCUACUCUAUAUGUUGUUACUGUAGGCGUCCACACGCGCUCUGUUCUGCCCGCCGCUCUGUUCUGCCUGCCGCGCGCAAUCCGCCGCCCGCGCAAUCCGCCAGCGCGCAGACCUUUCCAUCCGCGCACGCGCCAAAUCCGCUGCCCCUGCGCCAAAUCCACCGCCACGCCCCUGCUCGCCGAUGGAAGGUCCGCCGCCUGCCGCUCUAUUCUCCACGUGCAAUCCGCCAGCGCGCAGACCUUUCCAUCCGCGCCCGCGCCAAAUCCGCCGCCCCUGCGCCAAAUCUGCCGCCACGCCCCUACUCACCGAUGGAAGGUCUCCACGCGCAAUCCGCUGCCUGCCAUCGCCAGCGCGCAAUCCUUUCCAUCCGCGCCCGCAACGCCCGCCCCUGCGCCAAAUCCUCCUUGGACGCGCCCCGAUGGCUGGCGCAACCCGUCGAGCAAAUCCACGUAGAUCCCGUCUCCAUCUCCCGUCAACCAGGCGAGUCCCACAGUGAAUGUCGCCCACCUCCCUUCGACUCCGACGCUCCCAGGACCACACCGCCCAAGCCGUCGAGCAAAUCCGCGCUAUGCAAGUGGUGGCGCAGCCUCGCGCCCGCCCUGCUCGCCGCCGCACUGGCGAUCACGGUGGCCGCGCUGCGGCCGGCGACGGAGCACGCGGACGCCAAGGGGCGGCCGCCGCUGUGGUUCGGGCCAGGAGGAGUGUUCAAAGUGGCCCUGUUCACGGACCUGCAUUAUGGCGAGGACGCGUGGACGGACUAGGGCCCCGCGCAGGACGCCGCGUCCGACCGCGUCAUGGCCGCCGUCCUUGACGCCGAGAACCCAGACUUGGUGGUGUACGAGCAGCCAUAGAUGUGCAGACAUCCCUAUUGGAAGAAGAUCCGAACAAGAAUUAUCAAGAAGACAAAAGGUUCUGUCUUUGUGGUCAUAUGGAAACCUCAAAUCUUCGCUUCCCACUGUAUCAAAUUCCUUGGGAUCCUUAUGACGCAAAAAGAAGCUUAUUCUCCUAAGAUAUGUGAGAUGGCCAAGUUCUUGGGCAAAGACAUUUGUUUGCUUGAAGACAUCAACACCUUCUAACUGCUCCAAUGCCAUCAUACUUCUGAUCCCAGCUGGAGUGUUGAAACAGGAGUGCAUCAACUUUCAUGAGAUAAUGAUCCAGUGGACGUGCCAAUGACAAGGUCAUAGAAGAAGCUAUGCUUGAGGAAGCUAUGAGUGACUGAAGGAUUUCAUUUUCCGUACUAUCAUGUUUCAACUUUCAUUGGCCAGUCAUCAAAGAAGUAUAUGAUGUGUUUGGAUUUGGGGUUCUGUUAGUCAAGUUGAUCAUUGGUCAGAAGGCGUUGGAUUUUGGAAGAGUAGCAAAUCAGAAAGGUGGAAUGCUCGACUAGGUUAAGAAACUUCAUAAAGAAAAGCAGCUACCUUUCUUUGGUGGACAAAGGCCUGGGUAGCAACUAGGACAGGGUUGAGUCAGUACCACUUGUCUCACUGGCCUAGAAUGUUCGAGGUGAUCAGGUGGAAGGAGACGGGCUCACACAGAGAUGGGAGGUGUCGUAGAACGUAGACACGCUAGAGUUCGUCUCAUCGGAGCUCCUACUUCAAAAGUACAUGGAUUUUGCAGCGGACGAAUGCUCGCUUGGUGUAGAAGCCAUGGAGCUCUUUGGACCAAGGUGACCAUCUGAUCGACCGGAUCGGCCAUCACACAGGUCGCAUAGGUGUAUUGCCAUAUCAAGCCUAUAUUAUUGUUGUAUUACAUUGGACGCAUAGGGAAGGGAAAAAUCCAGUGGAUUGUAGGGUGUGAUCUGUCUGUCUAUAGUUGUGGUGGCAUUCAUUUGUGCAGAUGAUUUGUGAUAUAUUGAUGUCGAGAAUACAUAUGUUGUUUAUUUCUAUGUAAUCGUUGCACACUAUAAUGUUAUCAAACAACUUUUGUAUUGUUGCAAGAGGCGACAAAAAUCUGAUGGAUUGUAAUGUGUGAUUUGUCUAUCUAUAGCUGUGGUGGUAUUCAUUUGUGCAAAUGAUUUGUGGUAUAUCAUGCCGAGGAUAUAUAUUCUUGUUUUUAUGUAACUGUGCGUACGUGGAAAUCACUUUUGUUUAAUCAUGUAUGAUUUCAUUGUUUAACCCACGGAUUACAAUGAGAUUCAGUAAGUGGCGGUGGGAGCGCCAGUGGGUGAUGAUGAUGGGUGCAAGGCCGCUGCCCUGGUGACGGUCAUCGUCCUCAGGAGUGUCAUCCCGUUGCGUUUCAUUGGGCUCGAGGGUGAUAUGAUGGUCGAAGUGAUCCUCCACGUAGCGCUUCUCUCCGCUGUUGCGCUCGUGAGGGGCGCAUGCUGCUUGGCACUAACCUCGCUGGCUUUGUCCUCUCCAUCGCCAACGACAUUGGCGGUUCUAGAGCUAUGAUGUCAUACUUGUCAAUUCUAUUGAGGCAAGACCAGUAUUCUCAAGGUAUUAUCAGAUACCUAGAAUUGUAUGACCAUAGUUUGUUCUGUUUGAAAUUGAUAGAAUACUUUCUCAAUGUCAGAUGUUUGAUUUGGACCAUGUGUCUGUGGCUUUCUACAGUCUUAUGCAUGAGCCUUUAAAAUCUAUACCUAUCAUUUGGGUUGUGCAUGAAUAUUCUCUUGCACAUCGUGCUAAAGAAUAUAAUGUGAGUGGAAUGAUUCAGCUCAUAAAAGCUUGGAAAGAUGUAUUCAGCAGGACAAAUGUUAUAGUUUUCCCAAACUAUAUAUUACUGGUAUUUACUUCUGAUCUGAUUGUUAUUUCAACAAUCAUUGAGUCAUUGUCAUAUGGAUGAAGAACCUCUGACCAAAAAUUAUAAUUAAAUAUUUCCCUGCAGCUGAUGUAUGCUGCAUUUGAUUCUGGUAACUAUUUCGUGAUUCCAGGCCCCCCUCAGAAGCAUUUCAGGUUGACAGCUUUAUUGCUAAAAGUUACCAUGAAGAUGUGAAGAUUAGCUUGCAUGUGAAGAUCAGAGUAAAAGGACUGUGAUUGAAAACUCUAUAAUCUACUUUCUCUUAAGAUUUAAUUGUAAAU